AGGACCGCUCAACCACAGCGUUUGGAAGGCUUUUCCCACGGUUAUGAAGCUAGUACUGAAUUUCAGUCGGAUACUGGGAAAUUGUGUCCAUAUCGGUAGAUCCUAUUCUUUCCGUGAAGGAUGGAAAAGCAUACAUAUCCCAGAAACCACGCGCUGUGCCGCUAAAUUUGGAGCGUUGAGAAGCGAUUACGUGGUGCGCACUUUUUGCAGAUCUUUUAUGAAACACAUCGGGUAAUUUUGAAAUCUGUGCACCGUGUAGCACAAACGCAGAGGGGUGCAUGCCAGGAUAGGAGAUUUAUUUGGAGAAAUGCUUGUUUCCAAAGCCGAUUUUUUUGCCAACAAUCGCAUAGGCUGUGAAGUCCGGCUUUUAAUGCAUUACAUACACUGAAGAUCAUGUGAAAACAAGAAUGAGAAGAACUGAUUAGAUUUACAUGCCCUUUGGGCUCCCGAGUGGCGCGGUCUAAGGCACUGCAUCUCAGUGCUUGAGGCGUCACUACAGACACCCUAGUUCGAUUCCAUGUUGUAUCAGAACAUGUAAUGUAAAUGUAACCGGCUGUUAUUGGGAGUCCCAUGGGGUGGCGCACAAUUUGUUCUUAAUUGGCUUGCCUAGUUAAAUAAAGUUUUAAUAAAAUUAAAAAAAUAGGUACAAAGCUGUUUGAUAACUGCUUCUGCAAGCUAGCUUGCUACAAUGCUAACUAGUGUGCAAGGAUAACUUUACAAGUGAUACAUUCAUUGGCAUUUAUGCUAUAUUCUUACUAGUUAGCUAUUCCCUGUACAAUGUAAUAGGGGACUUGUCGCAGCAGGCUGUCACAAACAUUCCACUGAUAAGAAUGAUUAUUUCCUAAGUUAUCUUUGAACAGUUAGGGGGGUUCAAAGAAAACCAAUUAAUGGACCUUGUUCCAGUUUCAAUUAACAUAUCUGAAGGAGACCCCAAACUCUCAAUGGAAUAUUGAAGAUCACAUCAAAACCAAAUUGCCCAACAUUAGCCUUUCAUUGCUAAAGCCCCACUUCCUGGAUAUUUUGCUGGAGUUCCACAUCAUCAUGAUCAGGGUGAGAGAACAAAAGAACACACAUCUCACUGUACGUCACAUUUUCCCACAUACUUAUUGGAUUAAUUACAACUAAAUGUCUAUUUUUACAGGGUAACAGUGGGUUGAAGCCCAAAGACAAUGAAAUUAACCCUAAACCCUGGCCAAUCAACUACCAGGUUAGCAUGUUGAAUACUGUGUGGUUUGACAGUCCCAUAAAGAUAUUAACUUAUCACUGUGUCUUUGAUCUAUUUCUAUAAAGGGAUGGAGUUUCUCAGGAGAGAAUGAGACGGAAUACCGUGUCUACCUGUUAGGGAACCCUGUGAUCUGGUGGCUGAACCUGGUCAGUCUGGGCCUGUAUGUGGUUAUGGUGGCAGCAGCCUCUCUGGCCCUCAACAGAGGAGUCCAGCUGGACAUGAGAAAAGUAGGUAGGAGGAUUUAGAACUUCCCUGUCAUGAGUAACUAUUUUGAGUACCUCAUUCUAACGCUGAUGUGUAUGUGCAGAGCAUUGUUGCGUGCUGAUGGAAGGUGGAGGACUGCUGCUCCUGAGCUGGUUGCUGCACUAUGUACCCUUCUACACAUUUACAUUACAUUUACAUUUUAGUCAUUUAGCAGACGCUCUUAUCCAGAGCGACUUACAGUAGUACACCACGGGCCGCAUCCUUUACUACCACCACUACUUCCCUGCCAUGCUCUUCAGCUGCACACUAACAGGUACAGUGGGCCUACCACAAAAACACAUGCUCCCCAUAAUUCCCCUGGUCAUGUAGACCAACUCAGUGGCCUUGUGGUUAGUGUCAGUCCUUGGAGUGGAAGGUUGGGAGUUCGAUUCAUACCAAAAGACAAAAAAUGUGAUCCGAUGCAUCUCUGCUUGGAGCCACCACAGCAUUAAGGAGAUCGAUUGGAGGUAAGGCCAUCAAGCUGCCUCAUGCUGCAGAAGCAGGAGGUAGGCUCCUGCUCCUAUGAGCUGUUCCGGCUCGCACAAGGCUACUUACAGUUGAAGUUGUAAGUUUACAUACACUUAGGUUGGAGUCAUUAAAACUCGUUU
Molecule: non-coding RNA, 2076 nt
Organism: Salmo salar (Atlantic salmon)
Lineage: Eukaryota; Metazoa; Chordata; Actinopteri; Salmoniformes; Salmonidae
Source: RefSeq, a predicted model, not a curated record